AUCCCGGAUUUACUUGCUUAGCUGUUCUUCCGAUUCAUGGGAGGCCGAGAUCGAUGUUCCCUGGGAGUUUCGCUGAUAGCGCCUUCUUCCCCGUGGAGGUGCUUCAUUAGUAACUCACCACACAUUA
This is a non-coding RNA of Zea mays, 127 nucleotides long. NCBI's taxonomy places the organism in Eukaryota, Viridiplantae, Streptophyta, Magnoliopsida, Poales, Poaceae. The record is from Rfam.